UAUAGCUCAGUGGCACAGUGCCUGCCUGGCAAGCACGAAGUCCUAGAUUUGAUUUCUGGUA
This 61-nucleotide transfer RNA is filed under the name Cavia porcellus (domestic guinea pig). It matches the Rfam family "tRNA", at positions 6 to 65 of the family's 71-position model. From Rfam's summary of the family: Transfer RNA (tRNA) molecules are approximately 80 nucleotides in length. Their secondary structure includes four short double-helical elements and three loops (D, anti-codon, and T loops). The record is from Rfam by way of RNAcentral. Lineage: Eukaryota; Metazoa; Chordata; Mammalia; Rodentia; Caviidae.